UUCAGAUCCUCAAAUACCAUAUG
Molecule: microRNA, 23 nt
Filed under: Drosophila pseudoobscura
Lineage: Eukaryota; Metazoa; Arthropoda; Insecta; Diptera; Drosophilidae
Description: dps-miR-2517-5p
Source: miRBase by way of RNAcentral